This 253-nucleotide ribosomal RNA is filed under the name uncultured prokaryote. RNAcentral describes it as "partial 16S ribosomal RNA". It matches the Rfam family "Bacterial small subunit ribosomal RNA", at positions 525 to 777 of the family's 1533-position model. The record is from RNAcentral.
ACGGAGGGGGCUAGCGUUGUUCGGAAUUACUGGGCGUAAAGCGCACGUAGGCGGCUUUGUAAGUUAGAGGUGAAAGCCUGGGGCUCAACUCCAGAACUGCCUUUAAGACUGCAUCGCUUGAACACGGGAGAGGUGAGUGGAAUUCCGAGUGUAGAGGUGAAAUUCGUAGAUAUUCGGAAGAACACCAGUGGCGAAGGCGGCUCGCUGGACCGUUGUUGACGCUGAGGUGCGAAAGCGUGGGGAGCAAACAGGA